This is a non-coding RNA of Peromyscus maniculatus bairdii (prairie deer mouse), 583 nucleotides long. The record is from RefSeq and is a predicted model, not a curated record. Lineage: Eukaryota; Metazoa; Chordata; Mammalia; Rodentia; Cricetidae.
CUCACCAUUGAUUGACCGGUGACAUUGGAAUUCAUUCUGAGCACUUACAGAGGGAUCUGCAGAUCUCAGAUUAUUCUUUCACAUAGGACUGAUUGCCUCUGGAGAACUGAAGUAUUCAGUCAUCCAUGGACGCUGCAUCUCCUAUGGACAGCAACAGCCUGGUCGCUAAGGGGCAGAGUCUCCAUCCUUUAAAAUGACAUAAUCCAGUGGGAAGACAGAUGUCUAAGUGUUAUCCCGGUUACUAUGGAACAGCAGAGAAAUUACAUUUUGGGGCAACCUAGAAGGACCUAACUAUUCAUAAAGAAGUAAGGCCUUUGCACCUUUCAGGAGGUACCAGGCUUUCACGGCACCAUAAUGGCUCCAUGUGACAACAUUGCCACCCUCUGGUGAGGAAGAAUCUUUAUGGUCCCUGACUGGGCUCUGGGCCAGGGGACCGCUGAUGCUGUUGAAUACAAGUCAGAGUUUGAAGCACCCUGCAAUACAGGAACAAGUAAAGAUGCCUCUCUAAAGGAUACUUUUUUUUUCUUAUUUUGGGGUAUUUAUUUAUUGAUUAAUUAAAUGAUUACUCAAUUUUUAAAAGAGA